GGGUAGGUAGAAAGUGGCUGCUCCGAAUUUUUCGGAGAGGAAAGUCCGAGCUCCGGAGGGCAGCGCGCUGGUUAAUUGCCAGACGUCACCACUAAUGGCGAUGGAGAGUGCAACAGAAAAUAAACCGCCUACAAUCUUUCAGAUAUUAGGCAAGGGUGAAAAGGUGGUGUAAGAGACCACCGGAACCAUAGUGAUAUGGUUCGCACUGCAAACCCCGCGUGGAGCAAGGUCAAAUAUGAGAGAAGGGGAUGCCCAACCCGUAAUAACUCUCGGGUUGACUGCUUGAUUCAGACGGUAACGUCUGAACUUAGAGGAAUAGCCACUCAGGUACGGAUAUUCGUACUGAGACAGAACUCGGCUUAUUCUACCUACCCCUUA
Molecule: RNase P RNA, 378 nt
Filed under: Candidatus Omnitrophota bacterium
Lineage: Bacteria; Pseudomonadati; Candidatus Omnitrophota
Description: RNase P RNA component class A
Rfam family: Bacterial RNase P class A
About the family: Ribonuclease P (RNase P) is a ubiquitous endoribonuclease, found in archaea, bacteria and eukarya as well as chloroplasts and mitochondria. Its best characterised activity is the generation of mature 5'-ends of tRNAs by cleaving the 5'-leader elements of precursor-tRNAs.
Source: RNAcentral